UUGACGGUGCUUAUGCUUAGACAUGAAGGCA
This 31-nucleotide non-coding RNA is filed under the name Mus musculus (house mouse). The record is from RNAcentral. Lineage: Eukaryota; Metazoa; Chordata; Mammalia; Rodentia; Muridae.